This 108-nucleotide small nuclear RNA is filed under the name Sciurus vulgaris (Eurasian red squirrel). The record is from RNAcentral. Lineage: Eukaryota; Metazoa; Chordata; Mammalia; Rodentia; Sciuridae.
GUGCUCGCUUCAGCAGCACAUAUACUAAAAAAUGGAAUGAUACAGAGAAGAUCAGCAUGGCUCCUGUGCAAGGAUGACACGCAAAUUCAUGAAGCGUUCCAUAUUAAA